This 2476-nucleotide long non-coding RNA is filed under the name Sus scrofa (pig). RNAcentral describes it as "lncRNA (ENSSSCG00015010884.1)". Lineage: Eukaryota; Metazoa; Chordata; Mammalia; Artiodactyla; Suidae. The record is from RNAcentral.
GGGGGCAGGGAAAGAAGGUUCCUGGAAGCUGGCAAGUGCUGGCCCCGUGGAAGAGGCCCUGAUGGGCAGGAUUUGCAGCCACGAAAGAAUCUGCUCCUGCCCAAACUAGACAGCGAGCAGUGAGGAACGAGUACCCCAGCCUCCUAGGCGUUUGUUCUGUGAUCAAGGAGCCACCUUUUGCUGGAGCCACCUUUGCUUGGUCACUGCUGUGCGAGAGGGCAGAGUAGCUGGGGUGAUGCCACAAAGGGCAGCCUCCCGCCUUCUGUCGGCAGAGGGGCAGAGAAGGCAGAGUGGAUUUGCAGAACUGACAGGGCAAACAAAACACAAUCACCUUCUUUCCUCUUUUCCUGCCCUGGUUUCCCCCAGUUACUUCUUCCUCAUUUUCACAGACUUCUCAAAAGUGAGCUCCCUCCACUUGCCCUCCUCCCCUGAUGCCUUAACUCAGUGACUCAGGCAUCUGCUUCCACUGCUGCUGGGAGAGGCGGUCUCUUCAGCAAGGUCACACGUUCCUAUGGCCAAACUCUAUUAGUUUUUCUAAGAGCGAUUCUUCUGAACUCCUGUUAAAAACCUGCUUCCUCUGUGGUUUCUAAUGGCUCUGCCCUCUGGCUUUUUCCUUCAAGCUCUCUCCUCAGUCACUUGUGUGGAAUCCUUUCUCGUUUCUCUCCUUCCUUUGCAUUUAGGUAUCAGCCAGUUUUUUUCUGUGAUAACUGCCUCGCAAACAACACCAGAAUCUUAGUGCCUUGCAGUCACUGAUCUGAAAAGACUGGUUUUAUAUCUCAGAGCAUCAUGGAUGGGGAGCUUUUCCCUGGAGUCAUGUUUUAGUUUUGUGGAUUUGUGUUACUUUUUUUUUUUUUCAUGCAAAUUCUGCUUUCUGUUUUAAUUUGCCUAGAGCCUGUCUUAAAGUCCUUCUUUGAAAAAAAAAUUUUUUUAAACUAUUCCUGGAAAGAAUUUUUUUUAAGUGAUCUUAAGAGUCUCGGGGCUGGGGGAACCUACUCUCUCAUGCCUCUAGAGAGCCCAGUAGUCUUUUCUCUCUUUAGAUCAGCUUCAAUGUUCAGAAAAUAAAAACACUAUUUUUCUAAUGUUGAUGCUUAGCAUUUGACAACUAAUCUAUAUUAUGUCUCAGCUGGGCCUCCAAAAGGAUCAAAAUUAUUAGUGUUUAGAAACAAAACAUAGCAUACAAAAGUACUUUUACAGUAUCCCCCCCCCCCAAGACCUGGCUUUCUGGUGGAUGCCAGAAACCACAGAUAGUACUGAAGCUUCUAGAUGCUGUUUUUCCCUAUGCCUACAUAGCCAGGCUCAGUAAGAGAGUAAUAAUAAAACUAAUAAAAUAAAAGGAUUAUAACAGUAUACUCUAAUACAAGUUAUAUGAAUGUAACUGUCUCUCUCUCAAAAUACCUGAUGUAUCUGCUCACCCUUCUUAUGAGGAUCUGAUAUAAAAUAUCUGUGUGAUGAAAUGAAGUAGAUGAAUGAUGGACAAAGCUUUGUGACAUAGCACCAGGCUCCUUCUGACUUUCUGGAGACAUCAAGAGAAAGAUCACCGGCUUUGGAUGAACAUGGCUCGUUGAGCAAUUUAAACCCUGUGAUUUGUUUCUUUCUAGAAUGUCCUGUGUAAUGCUUUCAAAAUGGGCUUGAUGUGGGUACCUGUUGCCAAAAUUUGGCUUCUGUCCACGUGCUGAAUUGAAAUGCAGAGACAGAGAUUUGAGUAAAGGAAACAAAAAAAAAAAGCUUUUAUUGCUUUGCCAGGCAGAGGAGGCUGCAGCAGGCUAAUGCCUUAAAGACUGAGCCUUCCAUUGGGAAGGGUCAAGGGAAGUUUUAUAGUAAAAGGGAGAACAGUGGGUUUCUGGAUGAGAAUCAGGAGUGAAGGCAAAAUGACAUUCUUCUUUCUUUGGGGGGACUCUUUAGUUAUCAAGGUUGGUGUCGUGCGAUCUCAUUGUGACCCCGGUGAUCUUCUGGGUUAUUGUGUCUGGAUCUUUCCUGGAAAUAAAAGUACUUGCUAGAAGGGCAUAUCGGUUAGUGAUUAGGGCCAUUGAGGAAGGUCCUCCAAAGAAACAUCAUGUGCUUAUAAUUUGUGACUCACAGGCAGUCGUGCCUAAUCUAUAGCUUACGGGUGAUUGUGUUUAAGGCGCAAUUAAGCUAGAGAGAAGGAGAAGGAAGACUCUAAGCUGUUCAGUUUUAAACUAGUCAUUUCUAAAAGAAGCAUAAAGAGGAGUUCCCGUCGUGGUGCAGUGGUUAACGAAUCCGACUAAGAACCAUGAGGUUGCGGGUUCGGUCCCUGCCCUUGCUCAGUGGGUUAAGGAUCUGGCGUUGCCGUGAGCUGUGGUGUAGGUUGCAGACGCGGCUCGGAUCCCGCGUUGCUGUGGCUCUGGUGUAGGAUGGUGGCUACAGCUCCGAUUCAACCCCUAGCCUGGGAACCUCCAUAUGCUGCGGGUGCGGCCCAAGAAAUAGCAAAAAGACAAAAAAAUAAAAUAAAAAAAAA